This 431-nucleotide ribosomal RNA is filed under the name Kaloula latidisca. Its description in RNAcentral is "mitochondrial SSU rRNA". It matches the Rfam family "Bacterial small subunit ribosomal RNA", at positions 865 to 1492 of the family's 1533-position model. The record is from RNAcentral. Lineage: Eukaryota; Metazoa; Chordata; Amphibia; Anura; Microhylidae.
UUAACCGCCAGGGUAUUACGAGCCCAAGCUUAAAACCCAAAGGACUUGACGGUGCCCCACCCACCUAGAGGAGCCUGUUCUAUAAUCGAUUCUCCCCGAUAUACCUCACCACUUCUAGCCUAUCAGCCUGUAUACCUCCGUCGUAAGCUUACCAUAUGAACGUUAUACUAGUGAGCCAAAAGAUCAACCAUCAAUACGUCAGGUCAAGGUGCAGCUUACGAAGCGGGAAGCAAUGGGCUACAGUUUCUAACUUAGAAUAAACGAAAGACUACAUGAAAUAUAGUCAUGAAGGCGGAUUUAGUAGUAAAAAGAAAAUAGAGAGUUCUUUUUAAUUAGGCGCUGGGACGCGUACACACCGCCCGUCACCCUCUUCAAAUGCAAUUAUUAUGUUUAUAACACCAAACUGCCCCACAGAAGAGAUAAGUCGUAGC